Long non-coding RNA from Anarrhichthys ocellatus (wolf-eel), 12138 nucleotides. RefSeq lists it as uncharacterized. The record is from RefSeq and is a predicted model, not a curated record. NCBI's taxonomy places the organism in Eukaryota, Metazoa, Chordata, Actinopteri, Perciformes, Anarhichadidae. The transcript is spliced from 3 exons.
UUAGAAACAUUAAAUAUAAAUACGAUGUUUUAUUUAGUAAUGAUAUGUCGUACAGGAAAAGUUUUUUUCUUCACUCUCAAACACACAAUCAAACCUCAAAACAACUAAUGCGAAUAAUUAUAAUAAUAGUAGGCUAAUAGUAAUGAUAAUAAGCAACGAGAUGUAUUGUAAAAAUGUUUAGGGUUUGAAAAGUAAAAAAAAAAAAGAGUUUAUGUAUUUCUUGCAUGCCCGGAAGGCUGCCGUGACUGAAAGCUCGACGAAGGAGCGCCUGAAACCGGAGCGUCCACUGAGCGGCGCCGCAGCCCGCAACUUCCACGCGACAGCCAGCCGGCGUUUCCUCCCUGCAACACGCUGCAGGCCAAUCCGCUCACUCACUCCGUGUUGGGUUACAAUGACAAGGGCCCUGUCUGAACCACGACUUUUAGAAAGAUAAUAUUACAGGUAGGUGCAAGCCACGGACCGUGUCACUUUCGAUAGACAAAUUAAGCAUUGAAAAACAAGACCGUGACCCAGAAAUUCUCGCUUUAAUCGGGUCACCGUGCUUGUUUUCAGCUCUGAGUGAUAAUGGCACCUCUCACUGUCCUUAGCAUUUGAAGUCCCCUUACCGCAACCUGUAGCUUUUGGGGCAGUGAAAAUUGUCCAGCUGGACGCCUUGUAUUUUCCAAUAUUGAUGCCUUUGUAUGGUUUGAGCCAUGUACACCUGCCUGCUGAUAGCUUUCAACGUUUUUUUUUUUUUUUUUUUUAAAGCUAGUUGAAGGUCAGUUCUCCUCUCUAAUGAGCUGCUGUGAGGAUUUGUAUCAGCAGGGCUAAAACCAAGGAUGUAGAUAAUGUAUAUAGGCUACAGCUUUAAUUCACUUGUAACUCUAAUGUUGGUCAAAUGAAAGUGUAGGAUGCAUUUAAAACAAACAAGCAUGGAGUUAUUUUCUGCAUAUCUAAUCACUUGUGUUUUUAUUGGUGUGUUUUCCUUAGCAGCCUCACUAUAUGGCGGUCUUGGCAUAUCUUUUUAAACACUUAACUUUUAGUACAUAUAUGACCACAUCCUUCUAACCAUUUAGUAAACCCUACACCAUGCGGGAGGACUGUAGUGAGUCAAGUGAAGAGCUGCAGUAAAAGAAGGGUAAAUCUCCUUUCCUUUUGUUGCACAUGGGAGAAACAGCCUGAAAAGUCCAUGAAGGCUUAUCGGGUGUCGAAAGAAAUGCAGAAAUGCAAGCUGAAAUGUCUCUGAAAUAGGCCGAACAGAGUCUUUUGCUCCUACAGGGUUUUGUUCAGGGUUCCACUGAGAAAGCCCAAUGCAAAGUGGGCCUACAGCCAACUGGGAUGGAUUGUAGGGUGGAACCUUAACAGAUGGGAAAUAGGAUGAAGGUGAACACAAGGUCAAUCUGAGCUUCAGUGAUAAAGCUGUGGGCACCGCUCAUAGCAGUGUUUUAAAAGUUGACUUAAGAAAACAGAUUGUGUGGUCAGAAUAAACUCUUAAGACCAUAUUGGGCCAUUUUUUUUCUUUCCAGGCUUCUUUUGUCUAGAUUGCCACAGGCGGAAGCAGCAGACACCAAAUGGUCAAAAAAUUGUUAUCAUUAUGUUUGUCUGGAAAUCAGCAGAAUGGGGUUGUUGAUUUCCAGCGGGUGGGGUUUCCUUUGUCCCUAUUUUUUUUUUGUUCUAACCCAGAUUUUCAUGUUUAACAGGUCCACAGCUGAGCCGUCUCCCUGUACACAAUUGAGACGGAGGAGGUUAAAGCACUCUGAACGCAUGGGACAAUAUUGCAGGUGUUUGUGCCUCUGGCAGAGUCUUGAUCUUUUGUUCCUCCUGCACCUCCUCUGUACCACAAGAUGACCGGCACGCACACAAGCAUCACAGACGCUGAGUCCCCUAUCGGAGAGAAAAGAGCGAGCGGGUGAAUGAGUGAGGGGGAAAGAAAAGGUAAAGUUAUUUUAAAGGCUGAUAUUGCUUCAUUGUGUGCUGUCAUUCCAUCCUUGACAAAUGUUCCUCAUCUGAGUUGGUGUCAUGCUCCACUGUAUAAAUGGGUUAUGAGCUUGAAUAUAAGUUAUGUAAGUUGCAAUGCUUUGAGACAUCUGCUAAGCACAUUCAUAUGUAAUGGCACAUAAUGUAAUAAAAAUAAUGGAGGAAACAUAGAAGAUUUAUCUCCCAUUAUAAAGCAGCCAUGCUCUGCUUUAUUGCAACCUUCCACCUGCACCCUGAAACAGGUUUUGAAAUAGAGAGCUCUCCUUGGCUGCGAAAUUAUCAAACUCAACUUAUUCACACCAUGAAGGGUCUGCACACUUGUUACCCUUAAAAGCAUUUUAAAUAUUUUUUUCUUUAUGAUGGCUUUUAUGACUAGUGUUUGCAAAACAAAACAUUAAAAUAUGGUUUCUCCACAUCUAUAGACCAACUAUAAGUAAGUUAAAUAAGACUUGUGAAUUUUCUGCUUUUAAAUGUAGGAUUAAAUGGGUAACUGGGCAAGUUAUUAUUUUUAAAUGACAUGAUUAAUGCUGUCAGAAAUAGACAAAUAUUUUUAGAAUCAAUCAAAACAUCAAAAGGUAUGUAUCAAGUAGUCUAGUGUAAAAAUAUUCAGAUAUUGAGCCUGAAAUAUGAUCUGGUCUCUAUGAUGAGGGGAGUGAACUAGUAGAAGAUUGUUCCUUUAAUGAUUUGCACGGUGUGUAUCUUCAGGGGCUUUCUGUGCCACCAGCUGAGGCGUUAAUACAAAUAUAGCAGAUCAUUUGUGAACUAACCUGUUUUUAAGUGGCUUUCUCCAAAAGUGUGACAGGCAGGUGGGGAAACAUGGCAGAAGUAAUUAGAUAUUUGCUGUUAUUGAACCAUCCUGAGAAUUCAGAUUUUUCAGGUGACGCAACUUUUAAAAUCUGAAGAUUCUGAUGUUGGUUCAUCUAUCCAGCCAUCCAUUUGUGUCUUACAAUUGCUAUAAAAUUAAAACAACUCACUCUACAAAAAGAACAUCUCGUUAAAUAAUCUCAUUAGCUUUAGCUGCUUUCUUUUAAAAAAAAUAAAUAGUCGGGCAAUUGAUAAAGUCUAAGCUCCACCUUCGCCGCCUCUCCAUUUUGUAAUCACAGGCAGUUUGGCAGCACAACGUAAUUAGUUUGCACGCCAGAUUUCCCAUGAGUCCCAACCUAGCUCAAAGCCAAUCCCUUCCUCAUCAGCAGCCCAGAGACUAAACACCUACUUUAUCUGGUUCCCCCAAGGCUGUCCAUCCAUGGGGAGUCAGGGUGCCCUCAAAAACAUUGCCAAUGAGGGCUCCAAUGCCUCAGGCUGAUAUGGGUGAAACUUCAGAUGGCAGAUGGCAGAAGGAAGGAAAAGGACCAUAUCUUUGAGGUAGAACUGCCAAACAAAAGUGGAACAUCAUAUCCUAGAGCCUUACGUCCCAGGGCUGAGAUUAAAGCAUGAAAUAUAUGUUUAGAUGAGCCACAAAUGUCUUCAUAUCAAAAACUGUAAGUGAUCAAAGUGUCUGAUGUGUGGAGGCAUGCUGCAGGGUAUUUUUGUAUGUAUUCACCAGUUGACAGUAGCUGAGGAAAUGUUUCACAGCUUGUUCAAAUGUCAUCAUUGAUAAAGAGGACAGCUGAAGUUGAGUUUAAUUUAUUACAGCUGCUAUCUGUUGUAGAAUAAGGUAGUGCUACGGUGCAUGUGCUUUGCUUUAUAUCAUACGUGUAUCAGUAUCACACUAGAUCUCUACAUCUUAUAUUCGUUGUGACCGAGUGCUGUGUUUGAAAGAAAUGGUGAAGGACAGUAUUUAUUUUUUUCUCAAUCUUAUCCAGUUCACUCUUUUCAUUUUAAGUAUUUGUACACAUCUGAAUUACCUCUUGCCAGUCAACAGCAAGAAGUGAUCGGGCAGUUUUUAAUACCACUAGGCCCAUCUGGGAGAAGGACCCUUUUCAUUCGACAUACUUGGCUGCUUGUCGCCUCACCAUAAUGGGCACGUUGAACGAGCUCUGAAGCAAUAGCCAAUUAAAUGCCUUGAAGGGGAUGCCUCGAGGCCCUGCAUGAAAGGCUUCAGGUGUGAAAUGCUUGUUUUUCAAGAGUGCUGCAAAUGUUGGCUGCUUUCAAGUUUGCUAUUGCCCUGCUGGCUUCCCCUUCCAGCCCACCCCAGCAGCCCUUCUCAUGUGGAGGAGGGUAGAGGGUAGAGGUGAUGGGCAAGAGAAGACCACUUAAGUACAAUUUUCUAUUCAGUGUUCCAAACCUGUGCACUCUCGUGUUUUUCACCGCUGCCUCGUAACGGCGAACAGAGUUUCAGAUGAUGCAGACAAUAGCUUUUUAGCGUACAAUAGAGAGAAGAGGAGAAGCUGAAGGGCAGACAGGGGGAUAUGUGGAUGAGACAGAAAGUCUGUGCGUGAAUCCAAACCGGAGGCUGUGGUGAUUGGGUGAUGGCCGUGGUUUGCUGGGAGGAGGCUUAAAAGGAGAUGGAUUGUUUGCUAAUUGUGGUCAUUGCUGACCAGAACAUGACAGGUUCAAUGACUACUUUUAAUACGUUAUUGAAUACAACAGAACCUUGAAACGCAAUUGUGAGAAAAGCAAGAAUGUUAAUAGUUCAAGUGUAAGAACAGGCUGCCUUGUCUUUGUGCAAUAAAACAUCUAUGUCUGAAGUGUUAAAUCCAGUCUGGAUUGAAGUAUUUAUUUAAACCGCUAUAUUUCUACUCUCAAUUCUUACAACAUAGAAGUUGAGAAACAGUCUUAGAUCAUUGAGGAGUACCAUUAAAAGAUGCCUGUGCGGGACUAAGAGGGAAUAAAUCCAGGGGAUAUUAAUCUUAUUAGGAUCAUACAUCACUGUGGUGUUUGGUGAGGAGACAAAUGAAUAGGCGCCUGUUUAUCUGAGCUAAGCUAUGUGGUUUACCUAACCAUCACUCAGGGCACAUAUUGCCACUAAUAAAUUGGUUAAGUCUGAGCAGAGUGAUUGUAAUGAAGUUAAGGGACUGGCUUGUCCGAGCUCUCGCCACUACAGCCAGCUAUUCUCGCUUCCCUCUUUUUAUCUGUCCAGAUUGGGAGAGCCCUUUCGAUAAGAUGAAGAGAGGAGGAAUCAAAAUAAAUGGAGUCCAUUACAAGCAGCAAUGCAUCAACUGCUUGAUAAAGUGAUUAAUAAACAGGCUGGGAUUGUGAUUGAUUAAAGCAUUUAAUCAAACUGUUAAAAAGCCCUAUUGGCAAUGGUGCAUAAAUGCCCUGCACGGUUUAAAUGUAUAAAACGCUACAUAACCAUUGUUUUUUCUUUCAAAAAUAUUACAAACCUGUGUUUGUCUGAGGCAUACGAAACCAUGUUUUAUAUGGUUCAGAAAAGUACUCGCUUCUCUUUUUUUACACAAUUAAUGAUAAGUGUGCACUCAUAUGUAGAACAUUGUGUUUCUCGCAAAUCUUAGCCCAUUUUUUUUCAAAUUUAAACAAAAGAGCAGUGAUUGACUUAACAUGUACUCAUUAAAGAUGUUUUAAAAAGGGCUAGAUACGCUUGCAUUAGACCUCCAAACAGUGAGUAAUCAAUGACUAAAAUCACUUGCAAUUCCAAGGCAGUGGGUGAGUGGGCAGUGACAGGCUGGUAAUGUUUGUGAGACUGAAAUGUCAUUCAAAUUCGCUAAUGCAAAGGGAAAUACAUAGAGCAGAUUGACACGUCGAGCUUGGUAAAGUUCAACCUUGAUGUAUAGCGCAUUAAGAUAGGAAAUUACAGAUGUUGUAAUUAUCAGAAAUGACUGACCUUGUGCAAAAGAGUGCGAGGUUAAAGUACUUGUACUUUGCUUUUAAAAUGUGUAGCACAAGAAAAGAUUGGCGAGUAUCUGUAAAUGGCAGGCUUUUAUUGAAAUUCAUGGGGCAAAUGGGGAGAAAGCAAUGUUCAGAAUCAUUUUCACAUUCAGAAGAAAGGUAUAAUGAGCUGCAGAGUUGGAGAGAGGGUGCAUUUAGUUCUGCUUGUUAUUUUCAUAGUUGAAAAUGAUCAGUUUACAUUUACCACAUGAAUUCACAUGGGAGCAUUGUUUCACCAUAUGUCGAUAUAUAAAACACAGAUACAUAAAUGCACUAUGCCCCAUCUUUGAGGCAUGCCUGAGCUUUUCCAAUAAUAACCUACAAGUAUAACAGCCAGUGUGAAAGAGGUAAAAUACCAGAGUUGGCUACAGGAGUCUAUGGCAAGAGUUUGUUGCAGGGGAAAGUCUAGAGGCUAAAUCGCUGGUGGAAGUAAUGCACACACAAUUUCAGAGGUUUGAAUCCAGCUCACAACAGUCAUUGACUCUUUAUCAUGUCACUGUAAAAGUACCAGCAGUAGUAGAAAGUAAUAAGUACAUUUUUUCUGAUUUGUAACUACAUUUUGAGGUACUUGUAGUUUACUUCCAUAAUAGUAUUUCCAUUCUAUGCUAGUGUAUACAUCUACUCCACUACAUUUCAGAGGGAAAUAUUGUACUUAUGAUGUAUUACUUUACAUGAAACUACCCAACAAUCUAAGUUAUUUUUUUUAAUCGUUGUACUUCAUCCAGCUAAAAAAGCAUUAAAAUAGUUAUGUGUUAUUGCAUGAGCAACAACAAUCACAUUGUUUAAUAUUUAUAAAUAAAACAAUGCAGGGUUCAUUCUGUGUUCAUAAUGUUGUUUUUGAUAGCUCAAGUAUGUUUUGCUGACUUUCGUUUAAGUAACUUUUUUGAAUGUAGGACUUUUACAGUGUGAUAUUUCUACAGAAUGAAGGAUCUGAAUACCUCUUCCAACACUGAGUACCAGUAUAUCAAAUUGUCUUUGUCUGUACUGUACUAUGUUGAGCCAACAACUUCACUAAAGCAAGGACAGGGCCAGUUCUUCCAGUGGGCAUUUUGGAAGUCUACUGACUGCUACAGUAAAGCCAACGUUGUUAAACCUGCGUUCUCAUAUCUGUGUCAACCUGAAGCUAUAAAGGCAAACACCAGACAUGCAAGCGCCCACAAUGCAAUGUUUUGUGCAAAUGAUUGCAUGCGUUUCUUUAUCCUUUGCCUUGGGAAGAUCCAUUAGUAACAGUCUUUUGUGUUUUUAGAGUAAUAAUCAUUUGACACUACGUUGAAAUAACUAGAUACAGUAUGUGCUAUUUAAUCUGAAGUCUCUUUCAAAUGAAUAGGAGUCAAAUUAAUGACACAUGAAUGACUUGUUAAUUAUGCAAAUGGGGUGCCGCAGGAACCUGGUAAGUUGCGGGAACUCUGUCAUCUAAAAGGGUAUGGUGAGUGUGAUAGUGUAGCGGCUUGGCACAGCUCACUUGAUGUAAUGACAGGUCAAUUUGACUGGCUUUAUGCUCUGCACCCUGGUUCCUUUCUGGUCUGCUCUGGUGUGGCUGCCCCAGCCGCCUCCCCCACCCCCCUCUCUCGUGUCCCUUGGACUUUGAUUUCUCCUUUGUUCCAUUGGCUCCUCUACUGACACUUCCCAAGAAUAAGAGAUGCCACGCAACCAUGGCCCUUUCACACCAGACCGAUGACCUCUGUCUCUUCCAUGCAUGACCUCUCACCUAGAAGCUGACAGCUUGAUUAAUUGAAGAAUGUUAUGAUUUAUGAGUAUCUUCUCAGCAUGAUUAACAAGGCAACAGGUGGCACAACCAAACAGCUAGCAAGAACAUUACUUAGAGGGGAGAAAACAAUGGAGGAUUAUAUUUAGAAACCAUGUUUUGUCCAACAGUGACCGUCAAUUUGGUUAAGCCAUAUAUCAUUUUGACUUUUUUGUCUACCACUGCAGUUAGGAUAUCUUCACAUAGAGGUUUCUUUUGUGUCCAACUUGUCAGCCCAGUCAGACUUGCAGGAAGAUGUCACAUCACAACAAUGUGGUUAAGCAUAAAGCUCAUCCAGUGUUCCGAUUAUCAACUCACCAUGUAUUCAGUGCAAAGUUUGCAGUUGCAUAUGAAGAAGGGAAGUCUAAAAAUCCAGCAAAAGAAAGUAGGUUGUAUAAUGUUUAACACAAAGAAAUCAUUUUCAAGUUGACGUCUAUACUGUAUCUGCAUGGCUCUCUCUGCAUGUGAUUACUGCUGACUCUGUGUUAAUGCUUGAGUCUGCACAGCGAUGAGUGUCAUUUGGAGAGCAGCAUGUAAGAGGAAACGGUGUCAGUCGUGACACAGGGCCACAUCCAAUUGUCUACCCAAAGCUCUGCGAGUUAACUCACCUGACAGCUCCCUCGAUAAGUCUGUCUUGUAGUUGAGACACUUAACUGCGUAAUGGAAGUUGGUGGUCUAACUCAGGUGACAAGGGGAUGGGAGUGUUGAAGAGGUCACAUGAGACCUUCUCAUCGACUAAGUCAGUCACAGAGAAGGACUAUAGAGUGGGAUAGCAGUCUCUUGACACAGUGUCAUCAGCAGACUGUCCAACUGAGCAAAAGCGCAUGGUAAGAUGUGGCCUUUUCCUUUGACAUGGAUUUGUUUUGACCUCGGCUUCAGGCGGUGACAACUGAUGGGUGAUUGAUGGUGCUGUUUCAGCAGUGUCAGUGGAAAAGCCAGGCUCCUCGGAGAACAUUUCUCUGACCCACAGUGACCUGGCUCUAACUUGUGUUGGACAACAAAAGAUGGUCACCUACAGUUAGUGCCUGUCUUCUUUCCCUUGCCUGAUUGUUUUCCAAGAAAGUCUUUGGUUUUUUUUCAAAUAGCAAAAGCAGUGCAAACUGCAAUAGUGGCUGUUUUAUAUUUCCAGAUUAACUUUACUCUUUGCAGGCUUGUAUGGCUUUCAGUUUUGUUGUUGUCCUGCUUGUUGCAAGUCACUAACUAUUAUAGUAAGACUCGGAUACAUUUUACACUUGUAAUGCUCAAAAAAACCCUGCACCAUGUGAAGUUGCAGUGACUGAUAGCUACUGGGUAAAGACACGUUGGAGUGCUGUGUUUACAAAGAAUCGCCAUCAAUGAAAAAUUAAUUAUCUGUGAGUCAGCAAAGGUUAAUUCUGGUCAGAAACCUUUCGAUCCGGAGGAGCUGACCCCGGCAGUGCUGGUCGACGCACUUGUGCAUAGCUGAGGUGACACAUGCAGUGACCUGUGACAUGGGCAGUGACAGCAGAGUAAACUGGGCCAUGCUCCCCUGCCUCACUGUGCCUGGAGAGCUUAGAGGGCUCCCAGCUGAGCGGAGCAGGUUAAAGCGCAGCGCUGCUCCCGUGUCACCAGACCAGCCCGUGAUCAGUAGCUCCGUCUUCAGCAAACACUCCCCAGUCCUGCCACCCACCUCUGUUGUCUCCUAGAGACAGUGCUACCCACCGCUGGUUGCCCCAUAUGUUUGGGCUGCACACAAGGUGGUUUCUCGGAUACUGUGGUUGCUAAUUAUAAAUUUAAUUUGCAUUUUAAUUAGAAUGGUGGAAAAUUAAAGCCUGCCAGCUGGAGAAUUUCAAAACGCUUUCCCUCCCUCCUUUUUUGUCUCUCCCUCCUCUCUCCUAGUUUAAACUUAGCAUGACUCUGUCCUUUAUUUGUAUGAGAACAGCAGUAGGACCUCCUCGGUGUGGGACAGGGUGGUGUAUCUUCUGAAUCAUUCUUUCUUUAGAGUAGUGUUUGAUAAGUUUCUAUAUGUGUGGUGAAAAUUCCCAUGUUCAACCAUAUCUUUCCUAAUUAAAUCAUUUAUGGCUCAUUUGACACCUCCCAUAAUGUAGUUAAGCUCAUAAAACUCAUUGAUAUUUUAUGGGAAUCCUAAUAAGUCAUUGAAUGUCUUCUUCUUCUGUGGUUUGAUUAGUUAAACAAGGCCCAAUUCCCUGUCAUGGUGCUCAAUUGACACACUUUACACAUGCUGGGAAGUAAGUGAUCUGUAUGUGUGGGCUGGUAAUAUCAUUCAGUUUUGGUUAUUAUUUUCCAAUCUCCAUAAUUCGUCCCGUUCCCCAUGUUGUUCCCCCAUGGUCAUUCUCAUUCCCUCUAUUACCACCCACGGGCGUCCUUGCUCAAUAAUUGUCAUUAAUUGAUUGACAGCUCUGAUAGACCCAACUAACCCCAGUUCUGCUCUCAUGUCCAUGUUUUAAAUGAGAGCUUGUACAUCCAGUGACCUUGUCUGCCCAUCAACUGUCAGUGAAUGUGAAGCCAAUCCAGGGAAUGUCUCACCUUAGCAAAGUAGACCGUCCUAAAUGAUUGUAAUUGGUUUGUGGAUCUAUCUUGAGUUGUACUGUGUUGUGCAUGGUAAAAUCUGGUUAAAGUUUGGUUUAGUUUAAAGUGAAUGUGUUAUCUAAAGCAUGCAUUUGUCAUUACAAUCCCAGUUAUCCUUGUCCCUUUUAAUCUCAUUUCUAUCACACCAGGUUGUGUUUUCAUGUGCUUGAGCAAACCAAGACUGCCAUUCAAGUUAACAGAAUUCAAAGAUGUGCUUUUAAUCCUGGAAACCCAUCACAGCAAGACGUCAUCUUAUUGUGUAAUUUCUCUAAAUCCAUGUCAAAUUAUGUUAAUAAGAAUGUAGUUACUUUCAACUAAAAAAACAUAAGCCCUAUUUUUCUUUGACAGGAAUCCAAAAAAUAUCAAUGCGUUUAGUCAUGUGUUGACUGGAUAUUUUUUUUAUAUUUGGCUUUAAAAAUGUAAAGAGUUAAGCAUUUCCUAACACAAACAUUAACAGUUUUCUAGGACUCCGCUCCACCUUUUUGCGGCAGCUGAACUAUUGUUAAUAUAGGCUCUAUAAUAAUGUUUUCUCUACAAUAGUCCAUGCGUACACUGUGUCCUAGGCACAUGUAAUGUCUGACAUUCUUCCAGGUUGUUUUGGUUUGGGAGGCUGCCAGCCCCAGUUUUGCACCUCUUUGCAGGCCCAGUUUGAUGUGGUGUGAAUAACAUUCAGACAUACACACACGCCCUCAUUAGCAUUCAUUCAGGGAAGUAAUGCAGGACACCCUCUCUGCUCUGAGGGUGGCAUUUGGCAAGGGCCAAAUACACCUGGCAAAAAACCUCUAUCUUACUCCGUCCCAUCAUGUUCAUCACAUUGAGUUUUCCAUCAUGCACUCAAAAACAGUCCAGAACAUCUUUGUUUAAAGCGGAUUACUUGACAAUAGAGGAAACACAUCCAUUUAUAUCACGCUAUAGUAAGCUACGAUUGCUUCUUUAUACUGUCAAAUUGCAUAUAAAUGCCGUAGACAAUAGAAUUCAUAUCAAAGUCUUUGAUGUGAUGCAUUUGGGAAAAUCUGUGUAAAGCUGCAAUUAGACUACUGAUUAAUUUAAAAGAAUGAAAGCACAAGAGAACAGUCCAUUCAGUGACCCUCAGAAGUCUGGCAUGCAGCAGCUUCUCCCUCUAAGGCAUGGAUCCAUCAGCCUUAGUCUGGAGCAACAGUGGCUAUCUAAAAAAGGCUUGGCAGGAGGAGGAAGGCGGGCAUUCUCCAGAUCUGAAUCUGUGGACUGCUGUGUUUGUUACUCUGUAAAACAAUUUCUCUGUCUAGCCUUGUAAGACACAUCCAUUCUGCUACUUGAACUUUAGCGUUAUUGUUCAGAUAUGUUGUAGUAUCAUUGAUGGUAAAACUCCAUGUUGAUCUUUAGAUGAUGGAAGCUCUUCAAAGGUGCUUUCACUAGUUUGCUAAGUUUGGUAAGCAAGAGUAAGAAUAGAAGCUCUGGCAAUUAAAGUUUUAGAAAAAGUUGGUUAAAAAAACCCCGUUAUAAACGCGUAUAGAAAUCUAGUGAAUAAUAUUCCUUUUGCUGAAAAAAUUGUCUUGGCAGCUGGCUAUUCAAGACCCCUUUUAGAUUUAUCUUUGUCAAUUGUCAAAUAUUUGAGUGUAUGAAGUGGUGUGAUGAGGUGCAGAGACAGAUAUUUGAAGGGAUUUUAACUCAUUUGAGCAAUUACAUGCUUAACUGGCCCAAGAUAAUCUGUCAUCCAAAGCUUCUGUCUCGGGCUCUCCCUCUCUUUUCCAAUCCUCCACUCUCUCAUACCCUCCUACGUGGCACAAGAGAAGCUCAGAAUAGUGGGAUUUAGAGCACAAAAGCUUAUCCUGAAUGGAAUGAAGGCCUCGGAGAAAUUAAUUGCUUCUAACAAACAGCAUGACUGCUAGCAUGUUUUGUGUCCCAUUCUUAUCAGCCUCCAGAGGUAGAGGGGCGGGCGACCGGUCUGGAAAGGGUGAACCUACAAACGGGGGAAGUGGGUUACAGGAAUUUGUGUUUACAUUAUUUGAAUGUUAUUCAAGGAUGGAUGGCAGCAAAGGCUUAAUGCAGGGUAUUUGUAUAGGCAUGUGUCACGCGGAGCAUGUGAUCUCCCCAGUUGUUGCAUCUGAAUGAAGCAUUACAUUUGACAUCAGGAAAGCAAUACAGGU